RNAcentral lists this ribosomal RNA (253 nucleotides) under uncultured bacterium. Its description in RNAcentral is "partial 16S ribosomal RNA". It matches the Rfam family "Bacterial small subunit ribosomal RNA", at positions 524 to 776 of the family's 1533-position model. The record is from RNAcentral.
UACGUAGGGGGCAAGCGUUGUCCGGAUUUAUUGGGCGUAAAGAGCGUGUAGGCGGCCAAGCAGGUCCGCUGUGAAAACUCGAGGCUCAACCUCGAGACGUCGGUGGAAACCGUUUGGCUAGAGUCCGGAAGAGGAGAGUGGAAUUCCCGGUGUAGCGGUGAAAUGCGCAGAUAUCAGGAGGAACACCCGUAGCGAAGGCGGCACUCUGGGCCGAUACUGACACUGAGGAGCGAAAGCGUGGGGAGCGAACAGG